CACAUUUUAAAUGAAAAAUUCCUGACCCAGGUCUUAAUUUGCUAUUUGUGAUGUAAAAAAUUGCUGUUUCUUCGAUUUUUUUCAUGUAAUGCAUUUAACAGCCGCGGGGCCUGAGGUCCUUGAUGUUUACCAGUUGCCGUAGCCAAGAGAUGACGUUGACGUGGAUGCAGUGUGGUCUUCUAUGUGGCAAAGGAUUCCAGAAGGAUGUGACCGCAUGUGUUCCCCCUGGACCACGCGGGUGCAGGGCGGCGUCGGACUCUGUCUUCUUGAUCACCUGCACCAGUUGCGCAUGCUCCGUGACCAGCUGCCGCAGAUCUGCCAUCUUUUGCAGGAGUUUUGGGAAGAGAAAGACGUCGUCGGGAUGGUUGCUCUGUGCUCGGUUUCAACAAUAUUUAAGGAGUGUGAUUAUGUUUGACUUCGGUUUUGUGGUAUAAAGCACCGUUACAGGUACCUUCCAAUAUAAGUCAGCUGAAAAGAAGGUGGAGCCAGAAAUGAAUGGGAGGACGGAUACGGGAGGAUGCUGAGCUAACCCAGAGAGGGGAGGCCUGAGGCUUGGGGCAGGGAAUCGGAGGAUGGAUACGGGAGGAUGCUGAGGUAACCCAGCGAGGGGAGGCCUGAGGCUUGGGGCACGGAAUCGGAGCACGGAUACGGGAGGAUGCUGAGCUAACCCAGAGAGGGGAGGCCUGAGGCUUGGGGCAGGGAAUCGGAGGAUGGAUACGGGAGGAUGCUGAGCUAACCCAGAGAGGGGAGGCCUGAGGCUUGGGGCAGGGAAUCGGAGGAUGGAUACGGGAGGAUGCUGAGGUCACCCAGAGAGGGGAGGCCUGAGGCUUGGGGCAGGAAGGGUGAUGUGGACACCAGGUGUCCUCCCGGGGUGGCUCAGACACAGACACCAGACUUCCUGGGACAGCUCAGAUCCAUGCGUCCUGCCCUUGUUCCAGAAGAUCAGCCCCCACCCUCCAUAUUCAAUAGGCAGGGCUCUCUCUAGAGUCCCAGAUGCAUUACUAGGAUUUUCAAAGGUGUUGCUCAGCAUGUGGAUUUUUCUUUUUUUUUUGGUUAUAAAAUAAUGACUAAGUUUUUAAAGAGAGAGAUUUUAAAAAAUAGUAAGUGAACCCCCUCUCAUAAUUUUAACCCCAUCAUACAGAUUUCAUGUAUACCUCACCAGACAUUUUUCUGAUCUGUGAUUAAAAUUUCUUUU
Lagenorhynchus albirostris (white-beaked dolphin) is the source of this 1195-nucleotide long non-coding RNA. RefSeq lists it as uncharacterized. The transcript has 3 exons. Lineage: Eukaryota; Metazoa; Chordata; Mammalia; Artiodactyla; Delphinidae. The record is from RefSeq and is a predicted model, not a curated record.